UGGGGAAUUUUGCACAAUGGGGGAAACCCUGAUGCAGCGACGCCGCGUGAUUUAGAAGGCCUUCGGGUUGUAAAAAUCUUUUCUAUGGGAAGAAAAUGACAGUACCAUAGGAAUAAGGACCGGCUAAUAACGUGCCAGCAGCCGCGGUAAUACGUAAGGUCCGAGCGUUGUCCGGAAUCAUUGGGCGUAAAGGGUACGUAGGCGGGUAAGCAAGUUAGAAGUGAAAUCCUAUAGCUCAACUAUAGUAAGCUUUUAAAACUGCUCAUCUUGAGGUAUGGAAGGGAAAGUGGAAUUCCUAGUGUAGCGGUGAAAUGCGCAGAUAUUAGGAGGAAUACCGGUGGCGAAGGCGACUUUCUGGCCAUAACCUGACGCUGAGGUACGAAAGCGUGGGUAGCAAACAGG
This 402-nucleotide ribosomal RNA is filed under the name bacterium. RNAcentral describes it as "partial 16S ribosomal RNA". It matches the Rfam family "Bacterial small subunit ribosomal RNA", at positions 355 to 776 of the family's 1533-position model. The record is from RNAcentral.